GAAGGCUUGGCGGUCCCGUUCGAACGGCCGGGUGCGCGGGUCGCUGGGAGAGGGGCCGCGGCCACCCACCCCCACCCCUGACGGCGCCGCCGCAGGCCCGGCCCGGCCCGGCCCGGCGAGGCGGGCCCAGGGCGGCCCCCCCCCCCCCCCCCCCCCCGGGCUGGCGGCGCCGCGCGCAGUUUGGAGGGGGUCUGUGGCGGCCGGGCCCCGCCGCUGAGGGGGCGCGAGCGCCCUGUGCCCCGCUCACGGGUCCAGAUGUGACUGUUGCGACAGAGAAGACUUACAGCAGGUGUCUCAUAACUAGAAGUCAUAUGGACAACGGCUGCUUUUGUGUUGCACAACUGAAUAGUGCCCUUCCCUGGCUCAGCGCCCGGUGCCAACAGAACACCUUGCAGGAUCCUCAGCAGCGCAGACAACCAGAGGCUGUAUGCAGCUGUGAUCCUGCCCUAUAAGAGCGGUAUUCCUUCCUUCCUUCGGCGUGCUAUUUGGAGACCUUCGUGCUCCCUUCUCGGAGUCUCUCCCAAGCUGCAGAAUUGGCAUCUUUCCCUGAGGUUGUCCGAAUGGCAAAUGGCAUCGUCUGUAGCUUGCAUUCUUGCAGCUUCUUAUGGCAUUUCUCUCUCGAUGUCGGCUACUCCCUUUUGUUUGUUGUUGACUGGGCUGGGUGUGGUUGGGGUUUUUUUUGGAGUUAAUUGUAAACGAACCUGAAUGGCAAACACGCCAACAGCUUGCGAAAAAGAAAAAAAGAAAAAAAAAAAAAAAAGCCCCACACAAACGCCUUCUGCUGCGACAGAUGCCCAUGUUGCCCCUGGCAUGGAGAAUGGGCACAAGGGGUUUGUUGUUGAGGUUUUCUCUGUUGCUGUUUUUAUUGUUCGCAUUUCCCUUUUCCCUUUAUUUUUAAAGACUCCAAGAUGCCGGCCUCGGCUUGGAACGGAGCGGUGUCAUGGCGGAGACGACGGCCUUUGUCUCACAGGGUGUGAAAGCAUCCGUUGUGCUGGCUCCACUGCGGCAGAAUGACGUUUAAAGGGGGGAAAAAGUGCUGAAAGUCCGAGUUGCGCGGCGCUGGCGGGGGAGCCCCCGGCCCCACAGCGGUGUGCGUCCGAGGAAGGGCUUGCAGUGGAGGAGCCUAGUCUGUAAUCCUGGCACUCGCGCCUCCGGUUGCUGCCUGCCGUUUGCUCCUGGGGGUCUGGAUAAUCUCCCUUGGCUUUACCGCACUGUCUGGCCCGCGCACAGGGCCCCCGUAACAUAUACCCGCUGCCGCGAUCGCAGGGAGCUGUGGCGUUGCCACUGAAUGGAUGGCACUGUGCCAACUCCGCUGCCAUCCGCCCUUGCAGCUCUUUUCCUCCCUCCUCCCUCCCGCUCUCCCCUCCUCCUCCUCCUCCUGUCGACUUGACGUUAAUUAACACACGGGUUAAUUGAUUUUAAAAGCUGAAGAAUUACAGUUAACUUUUCCCACAGGGUACGGACGCCAGCCGCUUGGCACGGUUCUGCUGCUUGUGCUGGUGCAGGGGGGCAGGGAAGAGCCCGCAGCAAAACCAGCAACUGCGGAGGGAUGGACGGACGGUCGUCCGCCUGUUGGAGUGCGGCUGGGGGUGGCUGACGUGCUCCUGCCUCGUCCUCCCGACAUGUCACCGCUAUAUUUUGCUAUAAACAAUCAAAGCAACCCCUCCCCUCACCUCUCCCACCCACCCUCCUUUCAGAAAAGCGAUUUCUCUCAAAGUUUAAGCAGGGAAGCUGUCCCCCCCAAAGGCUUAUCACAGCACAUAAAUGACCAGCCUCUGUGGGGUCUCCCACCGCAGGGCUCCGCACCCCAAGCACCCUGCAACUGCUGAGGUGGGGCAUCGGAGCACCGCUGUCUGUUAUAGGCUCAUCCUGUCUUCCAGGGCUCUUUUUCGUUUCCUUAAUUGGCUCAGAUAUAUCGCUUGGGGUGAAGCAUCUCAACCAGGGGAAAGUUAGUUCGUUGUAAUUACGAGAGAAAUAAACCAUGUGAGGGCUUUGUUUUUUUGCUUUUGCUCUCCCUCACCCCGAUCUCUGCCGCGAGUGAGAGUGACUGACGGUGUGGCUGGGAGGAGACGCAGCGAUGCUGGGAACUUGCUGCUUUCACCUUCCUGUGCUUUCAUUUUAUUUCAUUUUGUUUUUUAAAAGCAUGAAGCAAGUGAAGCGACGAGAGGAAUCCAUUAUGCAAAUCAGGUCACAUUUGCAUAAUGUCUCAUGACUGGAAUAUGCAAAUGAGUUGUAUAAUUUAUGAGUGCCAGUGUCUGUCUAAAAGUGUUUCCCAGAAUUCAUAAAAAGUGAGACGCGGGGAGGGCAGCUGGGCUGGCUGCCCUGCCAGGAGGGCUCUGCGCUUUCUUUUCAAAGUCUUCCUUGAGAUCAGCAGCUCAAACGCUCAUUAAUGAGAAACAAGCGCCCCUUUCCACCCUGUCCCCCUCGGUUUAUUUUCCGUCUCUCCCUCUGCCAAGCUCCCACCUGCUCCCUUCGAGCUUCUCCAGGGGGCAUUUGGCUGGUGCAGGGGAGCUGGGACUGCGAUGGCCGGGCAGUCCCGUGCAGGCUGGCUCAGCCUGGGUCUCGCUCUGGAUGUCUCUGGGGCUCUUACCAAGAGCAGAGACCCUGCCUUUCAGGCAAGCGAGCUCCAUGGGCACAGUGUGCGUCAGGGAGCUGCGCUGAGACGCUUGCCUCCAACAGGCAUGGUGGGAUUACUGCUUGUUUGCAGUGUGCUGCAUCUAACUUGUGCUCUGAGUCAGAGACCCGCGCCUGACCUUUGGAAGAGCUGCAAGGUCAGUCGGGGGCGGCAGUGCCAGUGGAGACAGACCUUGAGUUUCCUGCCCAGAGCCAGCAGUGUUCAGCUUCAGCACUGAAAAGGUUUCUGGAAUAUUUGGAAAUGCAGGACAGGUAUCAAGAUUCUUUUUCUUUCCGUUUUUUUUUUUCCCCUUCUCUGCAUAUUUGGAGAUCUUGGAGCACCAGGAGGAUGGAGGUAAGCUAUUUCACACAGGGACGCCGCUGCUCUGAGCGGUCUGUGCCGGGAGAGGGUAAAUAACAACAGGCACUGGCACGUGGAAAGCUGUGGCGUGGCUGUGACUGCGGCGUGGCUCUGGCGCGUGGACCACAGCCUUGCCCGCUCUGGGCAGCGUCCAGCGAGGAGCAGCAGGGUGGGUGAGCCCGGGGGUCGGGGCAGCUCAGCAUCAGCCUUCCUCAGCUCUGGGAGGUUCCUGAAAGGGCUUUUGGGCAAGAAAGCGUGAUUUGCUUUUCCUGAGAAUCUGCUUUUCAAUUGUAAAAACCAUAUGUGUUUCUCUCUUCGGUUUCAAAAAAAAAUUUUUUGUGUUAGUUACUGUCUAAACUGAUGAAUCGCUCACUUGCAAUCCAUUUCAAAAUAAUGUGAGUCUUUGUAUGGUUUUUUUAGUAGAUGCAGGACUUGACUCUGACAGUGGAUGUCAUACUGAACAUCUCCAGUACAAGGAGUAAAUUCAAAAAUUGUGUUUUUACCUGUUCCUGGUGUGGGAACACAAAAGGACACUCUGCGUUAGGUGACAGGAAGGCGAAACUGCCACACCUUCUGCCUUGGCAGCAAGUGAGAGGCAGCAGCACAUCCGGACUCCACAGCGUCUUUUGCUUAUGACUGCUCAACUUCGGUACCUUCCUCCUGCGCUGAAGGGAGGCUGUCCCCGUGCUGGUCCUCACCAGUGCGGUUAGCAAAGAGGUAGCUGAGCCUGACCUGGAGCCUGUGCCAGGAAAAGGACUGGAUCAGGGCCACCGGGAAUAACUGGUGUGUCCGCUGAGGGCAGUGGGAGGCAGGGUGUUUUGUGGGGAGCAGUGGGGCUGCAGCAGCUGGGAGGGGUGAGCUCCAUGGGAAAAAGUGGUAUGGUAGCCCCAGAGAACACCACGCAGCCGUGGGACCGGUGGCCACGCAGCGUCAGGGCCCUUUUUAACCUCGAGGGGAACCACCCUGCUUUGCUCAUCACAAAAGCUCCUGCAAGCUGGAAAGGAGAGGAGAGCAUCUGUGUACUUGUUAGGGUGUUUGGUGUAGCAUCAGCAGAUCCUGCACCGGGACUCGAGCUGGUUCUCCGGCUGGUACCUGUGGUGGGUGGUCUUUCAGGGCUGGCUGGCACCGAGGCCUGGGGUUGUGAGGUGGGAGGAGGACCGCUGUGGCUGUGGAGCAAUCUGCAGGCGCUGGAGGGAAUUCAGCCUCCGUUUGGGGAGAACACACAGCUCUGUCUGGAGCUCCCCCCUCCAUGGACAAGGUGCUGGUCCUGGUGCCCCCUCCCUGCCACUGCUUCUAACCCACAUGUCACAAGAAUAUCAGCAAAUGUGGGACAGCAGAAGCAACAGAAGCAACUCCUUUUCUUAGGGUACAGUGCACAGUCAGGUUUCCCUGCUACCUCACUUUCCAAGGCACCAGGCUCCCCGGGACCCCUGUCGUGCCAUCCUCCUCUGCCCUUGUGUCCCCAGGGAGAGCUGCCUGCUGGAAGACUCCCUCCCUUCCAGCGGGCAGAGCCUUCUGUCUAUGUGUCGCUUGCUGGUGUUUUUAAAGAACCACCAAAACUCAUGAACGUUCUCUUGGUUUUGAUGCUGCACUGAGGGCUGGUGAAUGUCCUGAGCUUUGUAUUUAGGGAUGAAACAGCUUCUUUGGGGUGGCAGAAUAAAAGCUUAUCCAGCAUAUGCACUGAAACUUCCAUAUCCACCAGACGAGGUUUUCUGGUCUUUGUGGGUCAGGUAACAAGGGGCGGUAGCAUGGGGAAUCCCUCACACAGUGUCACUCAUUUAUUGUCUGUGUUUCUGCUGAGGUGGUGUUUUUGUCAGCUGAACAGAGUGUACCUGACAGAUCCUUGUUGCUUUUUUCCAGUGUUCUCCUGUGCUUGGCCUCUGUGGUUCGCCAGCUGCGGUGUUGGAAGGAUUCCCUGCAGGCCCCUCCUUGAGACUUCCCUGGGCCUUUCUUGGCAGUUCUUGCUUUCCGUACCUCGAUGGAGCUGGAUGCUCAAGAGCAGAGGAUCUAUCAACUGCAGACCAAGCAGAGGGAGAGGCAGGCAGAACUGGAGCAGAAAUGCAGCCGGAUCCAGCAGCUCAGCCGGGACCUGGAGGCCAGUCACCAGCUGCAGGAGGAAGCUCAUAAACAGUAGCCAAGGACUGCUCUCUUGGUCAGUGUAAGAAGAGGGUAAAGAUACCACGGUGCUGCCCAGAGUACUCUGCCGGCCUCCAGCGAUCUGCAGCUCAGAGGCUUCAAAAGCAAAAGUGGGGUCUUGCUUUUAAUCAAUGCACGUCUACCCUAAAGUACCAGGCCCGCGUAACUCUAUGGGAAGAGCUCAGGAGCCUGCUACUCGCUGAAGCAAAACUGAGUGUCAGGUGAGGUAGAACCACUAGAAACAGCCCACGUGCGCCCUGCACUUGGACACGGAGCCUCCUUGGACAAAACACCCACGCCUGCUCAGUGUGGUCACCCUUUCACCCUUGUUGCAAGGAUCCCUUCUGAGAUCCACCUUCACUUACCACACCAAGCGCAAAGGCCAUUGUCAUGCAGGCUAUAAGACUGCUGACAGCCCGUGUGGCACAGGGACGGGCCCACGCACGCAGCUGACGCAGCCCGCACGGUUCAGUGCUGAAGAGCGGCCAGCUUCAUCGCUCAAGAGUUCUGCUGGGUGGCUCCUGCUCAGCACAGAUUCACAGAGUGAGCAGGAAGGGAUCAUGCAGUCUGACCUUCUGUACCUGCAGUCAAGAAAAUUUUGCCAUGUUACUGCUGAAUUCAGUAACGUGUUUGACAAAGGCAGCUUCAGAAGGUCAUUCAACUGGACUUGAAGACAUCAAGAGAUGGCAAAUGCAGUACUUCCUCUCGUGGCAGUCGAUCCCUUUGCACCACUCCUGACUUUCUUUUUUUGUCUGAUUAUUACUAUACAAUGUGGCUAAUGAAGCUUUCUAUACAGCA
Molecule: non-coding RNA, 5908 nt
Organism: Phalacrocorax carbo (great cormorant)
Lineage: Eukaryota; Metazoa; Chordata; Aves; Suliformes; Phalacrocoracidae
Source: RefSeq, a predicted model, not a curated record